Long non-coding RNA from Ananas comosus (pineapple), 154 nucleotides. RefSeq lists it as uncharacterized. NCBI's taxonomy places the organism in Eukaryota, Viridiplantae, Streptophyta, Magnoliopsida, Poales, Bromeliaceae. The transcript is spliced from 3 exons. The record is from RefSeq and is a predicted model, not a curated record.
UGAUUAAUCUACUGUUUGGUGUUGCAUUCCUUCGGAUCUCCGGAAGCCAUCAACGAUCUACUACCUUACUUGAUCUCCUGUUUGGUAUUGCAUUCCUUCAGACAUCCAUAAAUGGCAUCAACUGUUUAUAUCGACAUCAACUUUCGCCGUUUAC